CAUCGGGAGCUACCAUGCAGCCGAGCGGUAGAGAUUCUUCGGAAUCUUGAGAGCGGCGUACGGGUGCGGAACACGUGUGCAACCUGCCUUUAUCAAGGGGAUAGCCUUUCGAAAGGAAGAUUAAUACCCUAUAAUAUAUGAUUCGGCAUCGGAUUAUAUUGAAAACUACGGUGGAUAAAGAUGGGCACGCGCAAGAUUAGCUAGUUGGUGAGGUAACGGCUCACCAAGGCGACGAUCUUUAGGGGGCCUGAGAGGGUGAUCCCCCACACUGGUACUGAGACACGGACCAGACUCCUACGGGAGGCAGCAGUGAGGAAUAUUGGACAAUGGGUGGAAGCCUGAUCCAGCCAUCCCGCGUGUAGGAAGACGGCCCUAUGGGUUGUAAACUACUUUUAUCUGGGGAUAAACCUACUUACGUGUAAGUAGCUGAAGGUACCAGAUGAAUAAGCACCGGCUAACUCCGUGCCAGAGC
This 472-nucleotide ribosomal RNA is filed under the name Elizabethkingia sp. YC105B. RNAcentral describes it as "bacterial SSU rRNA". It matches the Rfam family "Bacterial small subunit ribosomal RNA", at positions 39 to 515 of the family's 1533-position model. Lineage: Bacteria; Pseudomonadati; Bacteroidota; Flavobacteriia; Flavobacteriales; Weeksellaceae. The record is from RNAcentral.